AGAGGGUGCGAACGUUGCUCGGGAUUUACUGGGGCGUAAAGCGCGUGUAGGCGGACUCGCAAGUCGGGUUGUGAAAUCCCUGGGGCUCAACCUAGGGAACUGCAUCCGAAACUGUUUGUCUUGAGUAAUGGAGAGGGUGGCGGAAUUCCCGGUGUAGAGGUGAAAUUCGUAGAUAUCGGGAGGAACAUCAGUGGCGAAGGCGGCCACCUGGACAUUUACUGACGCUGAGACGCGAAAGCGUGGGGAGCAAACAGGAUUAGAUACCCUGGUAGUCCACGCCGUAAACGAUGAGCACUAGGUGCAGCGGAUAUUGACCUCUGCUGUGCCGUAGCUAACGCGUUAAGUGCUCCGCCUGGGGAGUACGGCCGCAAAGGCUAA
RNAcentral lists this ribosomal RNA (378 nucleotides) under uncultured organism. Its description in RNAcentral is "partial 16S ribosomal RNA". It matches the Rfam family "Bacterial small subunit ribosomal RNA", at positions 527 to 897 of the family's 1533-position model. The record is from RNAcentral.